This 423-nucleotide ribosomal RNA is filed under the name uncultured bacterium. Its description in RNAcentral is "bacterial SSU rRNA". It matches the Rfam family "Bacterial small subunit ribosomal RNA", at positions 207 to 622 of the family's 1533-position model. The record is from RNAcentral.
AAGACCUUGCGCUUUUGGAGCGGCCGAUGUCUGAUUAGCUAGUUGGUGGGGUAAUGGCCUACCAAAGCUUCGAUCAGUAGCUGGUCUGAGAGGACGGCCAGCCACACUGGGACUGAGACACGGCCCAGACUCCUACGGGAGGCAGCAGUGGGGAAUUUUGGACAAUGGGCGCAAGCCUGAUCCAGCCAUGCCGCGUGAGUGAAGAAGGCCUUCGGGUUGUAAAGCUCUUUCAGCCGGGAAGAAAAGGCUGCGACUAAUAACCGCAGUUCAUGACGGUACCGGAAGAAGAAGCACCGGCUAACUACGUGCCAGCAGCCGCGGUAAUACGUAGGGUGCGAGCGUUAAUCGGAAUUACUGGGCGUAAAGGGUGCGCAGGCGGUUUUGUAAGUCAGAUGUGAAAUCCCCGGGCUUAACCUGGGAACU